UCCAGCUCCAGCCUGCAGGCAACAUUGAGGCUCCUAUCUUAAAAAAAAAAAAGAAAUUCUAGCUCUCUAGCCUGCGUCCUGUGUCUAUGGUCAGGCCAUCUGCGUCCAGCUGCCUGGGACCGAGCUCGGGUGUAUGGGGCCUCAGGAACUGGCUCUGGGGCCCCGAUAACAGGCCACCCCCACAGCACCCCGGCCUGGCAUGAGGGUCUCCCUUGAUCUGAGAAUGGUUACCUCUCGAUAUGAGCCAGUGGCUGAAAUUGGUGUUGGUGCCUAUGGGACAGUGUGCAAGACCCGUGAUCCCCACAGUGGCCACUUUGUGGCCCUCAAGAGUGUGAGAGUCCCCAAUGGAGGAGUUGGAGGAGGCCUUCCCGUCAGCACAGUUCGUGAGGUGGCCUUACUGAGGUGACUGGAGGCUUUUGAGCAUCCCAACGUUGUCCGGCUGAUGGAUGUCUGUGCCACAUCCCGAACUGACUGAGAGAUCAAGGUAACCCUGGUGUUUGAGCAUGUAGACCAAGAUCUAAGGAUGUAUCUGGACAAGGCACCCCCACCAGGCUUGCCAGCCGAUACCAUCAAGGAUCUGAUGCCAGUUUCUAAGAGGCCUAGAUUUUCUUCAUGCCAGUUGCAUCGUUCACCGAGAUCUAAAGCGAGAGAACAUUCUGGUGACAAGUGGUGAACAGUCAAGCUGGCUGACUUUGGCCUGGCCAGAAUCUACAGCUACCAGAUGGCGCUUACACCCGUGGUUGUUACACUCUGGUACCAAGCUCCUGAUGUUCUUUUGCAGUCCACAUAGGCAACACUCGUGGACAUGUGGAGUGUUGGCUGUAUCUUUGCUGAGAUGUUUCAUUGAAAGCCUCUCUUCUGUGGAAACUCUGAAGCUGACCAGUUGGGCAAAAUCUCUGACCUGAUUGGGCUGCCUCCAGAGAAUGACUGGCCUCGAGAUGUAUCCCUGCCCCAUGGAAUCUUUCACCCCAGAGGGCCGCACCCAGUGCAGUCGGUGGUACUUGAGAUGGAGGAGUUGGGAGCACAUCUGCUGGUGGAAAUGCUGACUUUUAACCCACACAAGCCAAUCUCUGCCGUUCGAGCUCUGCAGCACUCUUAUCUACAUGAGGAAGGUAAUCUACAUAAGGAGUGAGCAAUGAAGUGGCUGCCAUGGAAGGAAGAAAAGCUGCCGUUUCCCUUCUGGACACUGAGAGGGCAGUCUCUACCUUCGUCCCUGAGGUUGUAGAGGCCCCACCUCCAUCUAUCUACAGAGAUUACUUUGCUGCCUUAAUGACAUUCCCCUCCUACCUCUCCUUCUGAGGCCUCUCCUUCUGUCCCCCUAUUUCUCAAACACUAAGGGGUAUAUUCCUCGUGUCCCUUUACCUACAUUUAUAUUGGGGGUCUUUUUUUAUAAAGAAAAAAAAAUUCUAACUUCUAAGAGCUGUUUCUUGUUUUCUGAUUGUUUCAUUUAACACUAUGCUUAUCUCUGGAAGCCUUUGAUUUAUCCUCUGAGAAUAAUAAUUUUAUUAAAAACUAUUCAGGGCAUUAUUUGUUUCGCUUAAGAUCUCUUUCUCUUGUUAUCUGAAAUUUGCUUUCCUCUCUGACGCCUUUCUCUUUUAUCCUUGGAUGUUCUUUCAUAUUUAACCUGUUAUUGGGUAGCUUCACUGGGAGUCACUAGGUAGAAGGGCAUUUAUUUUGUUGGGAUAGCUACAUAUCAGUCUGAUACUGCGUCUUAUAGUUUAUGCUAAGUGGUUCUCCACAAGUUUCCUUGGUUCUCCUGGCUGAUAAUGUUUGCACAGAGGACAGACGAAAGGGGGCUGGAACUGUUAGAAAUAGAAUUAUAAUGAAUUCUGUUUUCAGCUGUCACUCAUACUCACAACUGCACAUGAUGUCCUGGGCCAUGGGUGAAUCCUUUGAACUUAAUGCAGAGAAUGUCUUGUGAGCAGAUAUGUGGAGAUGUGCGUAUGCAGUUUUUCAACCUUUUUGUUAAGUGGCACCUUACCUUCAUCAUUCAUUGCAUGUGGUGUCAUAGUUCUGAGUCCUUCCUGGAUUCCCUGGGGCAGACUGGUUUGUUGCCUUUGCCCUCUGAAAUAAAUUAACUACUUCUCCACCUACUUUUGUCUCCCAAACUUCUUCAGCUGUCUAAUGGAGAUAAUACUACAUAAUACCUUACAAAGCUGUUGUGUAGAUUAAACGAAUUUAUAUAUGUAAUAUGCAUAGCGCAGCACCUGGCAUGGAGUAAUCAUUCUAUAAAUGGUAGUUAUUAGUAUUAUACAAUUUCUCAAUAUCCCUGACAGUACUGGUCAUAUUAAUUACCUGGGUAGUGAUGCCAAUAAAAAUCGCUACUGCUGCUUUUGUGGAAUUGAUAAUUUAUUUGUAUUCAUUUUAGCAAAAUAAAAAGUUGAGAGAAAUGAAAUAAAUUCAUGCUUUAAUCCUGCCAUUACAGUGUCUUAAUUGUUAGAAAUUUGUGAUAAAUUAUAACAUCUGAUAGUUAAUCAUUAUUGAAUAUUCUUUUUCAGGAAUAUUUUGACUGUUUUCAUACCUUAGUCCAGAAGAGUUUUACAGUCAUUUUUGACUGGUUUUCUCUAAUCUCCUUCACCCUUAAAAUACUCUUUAAGAUUUUGAUUACAAUUAUAUUUAAGUAAUUUUCAAAUCUGGGGAGAAGUUAUAUAUUCAUAAAACUUAUUUUUUCAAACCAAGAACAAGGUCAGCUUAACAUAUACUUUUUCUUUCUCCUCAGUAAAUAUUUGCAUUUUUUUCAUGUAGGCCCUACAUACUAAUUUAAUUUCUAUGUAUUUUAUAUGUUCAUAUUUUACAUGUUGCUACUAUAAAUGGGACAUAAUUUUAUUUUUAUUUUUGACUAUUGCUUUAUAGAAAAAAUAUAUUUAUGUAUUUCUUUUUAAAUGUCCAAAUUACUUUUUUGAUUUAAGUAUGUUUUUUGGGUAGGGGAAAAAGUUUCUUUUCCAAAUAAUGAUCAUUUUACUUUCUCUUCUAAUAUUUUUGACUAGUAUUCUUUUUCUUAUCUCAUGGCAUUGCUUAUUACUUGAGAAAUAGUGGACUUCAGAAGUAGUGGUUAUAAAUAUGUUUAUUUUAUCCUUCACUUGAAUAGGAAUGUCUUUAGGGUUGUUAUGUCUGAUACUUGUUGACUGCAUAUAAGACAUUCUUUAAACAAGUUUCCUACUGACUUGUGUUUUGCUUUUGCUGCUUUAAGCUAGAAUGUCCCAGGAAGUACACACACAAUUUCUCUCACACAUACAACUCUCAUAGUACACUCAUGAAAAGAAAACAGUUAUUUGAGAUUCUAAUAUCUGGGACCUUUGUGGUAGUCAAUCAAGCUCUAUCCUCAGAGGAAAAAAAAAAUGGACACUUGGAUUUAAAAGUGGCAGGAUCCAGAGGCAAAAAGAAGAGGAAAGGAAACAAACAAGAAGAGAUUCUAUAUCUUUGGAAUUAUGUGGCACAAAUUCCUGGUACCACUUUCAGGUUCAUUUGCUUUCUAUAUGAUUCCAUUUUAUGAUCACACUAGUGUGGAGACUGUAACCCAUGAUUUAAAAAAAUCUACUUGGCAUUAUUUUAUUCUAUUAGUAUGAAUUAAGCUGAACUUGUGAACAGUGAUUGCUGUAUCAUAAAUUCAAAAGUUAUUGAAUAGGUGGGACUGUUUGCUCCUGUACCAAACAGUCCUGACUGUGUUACUUCUCUGUUUCAAAUAUUUGUUUUCUACCCUGAAUUUUCCAGCUGUUAUCUUUUCCUGAAACUUUGAGUAUACUUGCUUCCAGUAAAUCUCCCCUAUCUCUACUAAUCUGCUGCUUCUGGUCAUGUCAGACUCAGUUAUGCAAUAAACCCGUUUAAUGUAACUAAAUCUAAAGAAUAAAUUGGGUAUGUUAUAGGAUCUGAGUAUAACACCCGUGAAUAAUUCAGAGUAAUUUUCAUGUAAUGAUAAAAUUAUUUUGGCUCCCAGCUGGCUAGUAAAAAGUAAUUAUUUUAACUAA
Molecule: RNA transcript, 3965 nt
Organism: Cebus imitator (Panamanian white-faced capuchin)
Lineage: Eukaryota; Metazoa; Chordata; Mammalia; Primates; Cebidae
Gene name: cyclin-dependent kinase 4-like
Exons: 1
Source: RefSeq, a predicted model, not a curated record